GGGAGGACAAAAAAUAAAAUAACAAAAAGGAACCUAUUAAAGAUUCCACACACACCGAGCACAAAAUCUCUAAAUUCACAGUAGAGCACACACACCUCAGGCCUUACACACUCACCAUCGAACAUGGUACACACCUAGAUUGAAAAAUCAGAAGAAAAGCAAAAAAUAAAAUAAAAUGGAGCGAUUGUGAGAGGAAACUGAGUG
Molecule: long non-coding RNA, 204 nt
Filed under: Capsicum annuum
Lineage: Eukaryota; Viridiplantae; Streptophyta; Magnoliopsida; Solanales; Solanaceae
Description: long non-coding RNA (CANN_LNC016476)
Source: RNAcentral